Molecule: microRNA precursor, 195 nt
Filed under: Oryza barthii
Lineage: Eukaryota; Viridiplantae; Streptophyta; Magnoliopsida; Poales; Poaceae
Description: MIR812 microRNA precursor family
Rfam family: MIR812 microRNA precursor family
Source: Rfam by way of RNAcentral
AAAAAAAUAAACCCUAGAUUUCCGUGUCCAACGUUUGACUGUCUGUCUUAUAUGAAUUUUUUUUAUAAUUAGUAUUUUUAUUAUUGUUAGAUGAUAAAACAUGAUUAAUACUUUAUGCAUGACUUGUCUUUUUAUUUUUUUCAUAAUUUUUUCAAAUAAGACGGACGGUCAAACGUUGGACACGGAAACCCAGGG